RNAcentral lists this ribosomal RNA (253 nucleotides) under uncultured bacterium. Its description in RNAcentral is "partial 16S ribosomal RNA". It matches the Rfam family "Bacterial small subunit ribosomal RNA", at positions 524 to 776 of the family's 1533-position model. The record is from RNAcentral.
UACGGAGGGAGCUAGCGUUGUUCGGAAUUACUGGGCGUAAAGCGCGCGUAGGCGGCUUUGUAAGUCAGAGGUGAAAUCCCGGGGCUCAACUCCGGAACUGCCUUUGAAACUGCAUCGCUUGAAUCCGGGAGAGGUGAGUGGAAUUCCGAGUGUAGGGGUGAAAUUCGUAGAUAUUCGGAAGAACACCAGUGGCGAAGGCGGCUCACUGGACCGGCAUUGACGCUGAGGUGCGAAAGCGUGGGGAGCAAACAGG